CCUACGGGUGGCAGCAGUGGGGAAUAUUGGACAAUGGGCGAAAGCCUGAUCCAGCCAUGCCGCGUGUGUGAAGAAGGCCUUCGGGUUGUAAAGCACUUUCAGUGGGGAAGAAAGCCUUGGGGCUAAUACCCUCGAGGAAGGACAUCACCCACAGAAGAAGCACCGGCUAACUCCGUGCCAGCAGCCGCGGUAAUACGGAGGGUGCGAGCGUUAAUCGGAAUUACUGGGCGUAAAGCGCGCGUAGGCGGUCUGAUAAGCCGGUUGUGAAAGCCCCGGGCUCAACCUGGGAACGGCAUCCGGAACUGUCAGGCUAGAGUGCAGGCGAGGAAGGUAGAAUUCACGGUGUAGCGGUGAAAUGCGUAGAGAUCGGGAGGAAUACCAGUGGCGAAGGCGGCCUUCUGGACUGACACUGACGCUGAGGUGCGAAAGCGUGGGUAGCAAACAGGAUUAGAUACCCGAGUAGUC
Molecule: ribosomal RNA, 465 nt
Filed under: Vreelandella stevensii
Lineage: Bacteria; Pseudomonadati; Pseudomonadota; Gammaproteobacteria; Oceanospirillales; Halomonadaceae
Description: partial 16S ribosomal RNA
Rfam family: Bacterial small subunit ribosomal RNA
Source: RNAcentral